GGGUGGCCCCUCCUUUUUCCCUGCGGAGCGCCUGCUGUGAAGUUAGGUGGUAAGGCGCUCAGGACUGCGGGGUGUGCCGCAGCCCCAGCGCGGUUGGGGGUGCGCCGCGGCUUUUUCCCUGCGCUUGGCCGUUCGGGAGGGUCGCCCGCGGCGCCGCUCGCGUAGUACUCGAGGAUGGAGCUGGCAGGUAUGAUGGAGAGGAGGUUUUCUGUUGUGUCCAGUACAUUGUGCAUUAAGCACUUCAUGGAAGCACUAUCACAUGUAGAAGAAUACUUGUUGCACACAAGUGGAUUUUCCUGAAAGCUAUAGUGCAUGAACAGUUUCUAGUAAUUGGAAUGUGAGGCAUCCUGAAGAUUUCCUGGCAACAGGAAUUACAACAGGUAGAGGAAAAUGGGCCAAAAUGUAGGAACUUACUUUUAGAAGCUUUUAGCUUACUCAGUGAUGAGCUGGACACUUUGUCAGAGCUGUCUGACAAAUGUGGAUGAUCAGUAACCAGGAAGAAGUUACACCUGAAAAGUUUUUGUGGCUUGGAGUGGGAUGCUGUGCUUUUACAACCUGCUGAAACAGCUGCUGCAACUUUGUUUAGUAGAUGCUGUUUUCAGAAACUGCAUAUAGACCAAAAUCACUGUCUGCAUGUCUAAAAUAGUGCCUUACUAAAAUAUUACGCUGCCCUCUCUAGGAAGGAUAGCAGCAAAAUUAGCGAAAUGAAUGUUGAGCAUUAAUACGUGGAAAACCCCCUGAGCAGUUACCCUUUUAAAAUACUGUAUUGGUUACACGCUCUGAUACUGAAAAUCUGCGAUAACUCAGGACAACAGAGCUCACAUGCGAGCCCUGUGAAGACAAGGGAGAGCAAAAUGAGUACACAAAUGCAAACCAAGGAGUCUGCGUUUUGAGGGUGAUGUCAUCCAGGAAAUGGGAGAAAGUAUAGAAGGUAAUGGUGUUAUGGAAGCAUAAACCUGAAACACUUGUAAGAAAGAAAAAUACAAUGUCUGCAGAUCGCAUCAUAGUUUGUAUCAGUUGAGGAACCAAGGAGUUGGGUUUUUAUUGACUGCCACUUAAGCAUGGAAAGACUAGUACUGUAACAGUGAAACUGCUCCUUGAGGAACACUGGCAAUAUUAGCUGCUUGCAGUGUGGGGAGAAGAGGUCAGUGGUGGGAAAAGAGACCACAUACACUAGAACUUGUGCUUUAGACAGUCACUUGAAAAGUACCAGUGCUGUAUCACAGUAGCAGCAUAUUUGCUGUAUUUGUCAAAUUGUCACUCUUCCACAGAGGAAUGAAGGCUCAUAAAUUGGUCACCAAGUAAAUUGGAUUUUCAAGAUGACUAUGUAUGACUCCAUCUGCCUUAAAAUGUCAAGUCUAAUUGUCAGAAAUGCUUUAUGAAGGAAGAAGCACGAGAAUGGCAUAAUAACUAACAAUUAAAAGAGCUACAGUUACUGAAUCAUUUUGAAAUGCACCAAAAUACAUAAAAACAACCCUAAAGUCUGCAGCCAAAAAUAACAGCAUUGGGUGCUAGCAGCUCUCUAGAGAAAUUCCUAUAACUCAUGGAGUGUGCCUGUGAUAAGGGACAAAUACCAUGUAAAGCCCAAUUUUCUGCCUGAGCAGUAUGAAGUGCAAGACACUACCAGGAACAGUACAUGAACUAUUGAAAUUUAAAGUAAGUGUCCAAUAGAUUACUAAAAUGUAUGCUAAGGUACUGACAAAAUUCCAGGUGUGUAUUGCCUCACUGAGCAUCUCCUAUAGUUUAUUAUUGUUAAUAAGCAGUGACCAGCUGCUUUUCAGCAAGCAGCUGUAAAUCAGUCUCUUGAAUGUUGGAAUCUUCAGAAAUUUACUACAGAACAGCUUUCCCUUCAUCUCUUUCAACAGGCUUUAUUUCUGUGUUUCUCAGAAUGGUAGGUAUUUCCAUGUGCCAUGUUUUGUACAUGCUUUCUCUUGAAUAAAGAUGAGGAUGUGAAAAACUUGCCUGUUGCCCAUCAGGUGUGUAUCACACCACAGUGUUCCCUGACUGCUUGUUAAUUGCAAGAGCUACGAAGGCAAUGUGGCCUUGUGCUGCUUUUGCAGCAUGUACUGGACACAUGAUCCACAUAGUGUUUAAAUGAUGCCAGGACAACAAACUUGGUAAUCCCAUACUUCAGAAUUGGGAAGGGACUGGUCUCCAUCUGCCCACUGCAGUUCUGUGAAAAGUCUGGGUGCUGUUGGCAGCAUCUGGUGAAGCUGCUUGGAUGGUAAGUCUGGAAGUUGCUAGUCUGAGCUAGGUCUGUCUUAUGGAGGUUGAAAAGAUGCAAAGGACAGGGAUGCUUAAUACGACAGCAAUAUUUGGUAAGUACUUUGUUAGAUACUCAAAAGGAUUUGCAUGACUUCGUUGUGGGGUCAGAAGAGUGUUUUGGACUAAAGGUACCAUCUUUUUAUCCUUUGGGCUAAUAAUACAAAAUGAGAAAGCUCUUAAGGAGAUAAUGCCAUUUGUACAUCCAGUAAAAUUAAUUUGCCUCACUUUUCAGAAAAAGGUAGAUGUGGCCAGUGAUGAGGCAUAUUGGAUACUGAGCUGCAAAACUCUAUGAAUGUUCCUGUAUGGCCACAGAAAAUGGGUCGUGGAUGAAAAAUGUGUAUUAGUCUAGAAAGUCUGGUAUUUGCAAACAUGAACAAAUGUUUUAACCAUGAUACUCCAGAGGUUUUGGAAUGUGGGACUAACGAAAGUGAUGCAAGAAGGUCGUUUUUGUAACCAGUUUUAAAAUGGCAAGUAGCUUUUUUGCUUUGUGGGAGAGAGAUAACAUUUGUAAACCACUUGUGGAUUUAGUUCUGGUGUGGUUUUUGGAGUGAUGUUUUAUACAAGUGAUUGAGAUGGGGAGUAAUUGUGAAGGGUUACUCUUGAUACAUUUGGAACACGUGGCAUGAGAUUUCUCUGUGCAAAAGCACUUCAUUAAACUUCAGUUUUACAAAA
This is a long non-coding RNA of Pseudopipra pipra, 2937 nucleotides long. RefSeq lists it as uncharacterized. The transcript is spliced from 7 exons. NCBI's taxonomy places the organism in Eukaryota, Metazoa, Chordata, Aves, Passeriformes, Pipridae. The record is from RefSeq and is a predicted model, not a curated record.